AUUGAACGCUGGCGGCAGGCCUAACACAUGCAAGUCGAACGAGUGGCGGACGGGUGAGUAAUGUCUGGGAAACUGCCUGAUGGAGGGGGAUAACUACUGGAAACGGUAGCUAAUACCGCAUACCAUCGGAUGUGCCCAGAUGGGAUUAGCUAGUAGGUGGGGUAAAGGCUCACACAGGGGACGAUCCCUAGCUGGUCUGAGAGGAUGACCAGCCACACUGGGACUGAGACACGGUCCAGACUCCGACGGGAGGCAGCAGUGGGGAAUAUUGCACAAUGGACGCAAGUCUGAUGCAGCAAUGCCGCGUGAAUGAAGAAGGCCUUCGGUUUGUAAAAUACUUUCAGCGGAGAGGCGUUACCCGCCGAGGAAGCACCGGCUAACUCCGUGCCAGCAGCCGCGGUAAUAC
Molecule: ribosomal RNA, 406 nt
Filed under: uncultured bacterium
Lineage: Bacteria
Description: partial 16S ribosomal RNA
Rfam family: Bacterial small subunit ribosomal RNA
Source: RNAcentral